Molecule: ribosomal RNA, 420 nt
Filed under: uncultured soil bacterium
Lineage: Bacteria
Description: bacterial SSU rRNA
Rfam family: Bacterial small subunit ribosomal RNA
Source: RNAcentral
AGGACGAACGCUGGCGGCGUGCUUAACACAUGCAAGUCGAGCGGUAAGGCCCUUUCGGGGGUACACGAGCGGCGAACGGGUGAGUAACACGUGGGUGACCUGCCCUCAGCUCUGGGAUAAGCCUGGGAAACUGGGUCUAAUACCGGAUAUGACCUCUCAUCGCAUGGUGGGUGGUGGAAAGUUUUUCGGCUGGGGAUGGGCCCGCGGCCUAUCAGCUUGUUGGUGGGUGAUGGCCUACCGAAGGCGACGACGGGUAGCCGGCCUGAGAGGGCGACCGGCCACGACUGGGACUGAGACACGGCCCAGACUCCUACGGGAGGCCAGCAGUCGGGGAAUAUUGCGCAAUGGCGGAAGCCUGACGCAGCGACGCCGCGUGGGGGAUGGACGCCUCGGGUUAGUAAACCUCUUUCGCCAUCGACG